AUUCACUCAAAAAUGAUUGGUCUUAUAAAAUCUAAGUAAGAUAAACAACAUAGCAAGAUAAUAUAUUUACUUUUAGGCUGAAAUCAAUUUUGCUAAAAACUGUACUUUUGUGCUUGAUUUCGUUGUUUUAACUGUAUUAGGUGAAAAUACUUAAAACAAGAAUCUAUUGAUUUUCACAACUAAGACAAUUCACUUCUUCCAUUUCACUUCUAACAAGUGGCUCAAUCAGUGUUUAAAUCCAACCGUUACACCCCCCCGCCAGUAGGGGAAGACCGUGCCUCUGCUCUCAGGUGACCGAUUCAAGUCCUGUCCUCCGGACUUCCGUUUGCGUUUGAUACGCUACACCUACACCUAUACUGUCUAUGGCUACACCAACAGACAAAGAAAGAAGAUUUUAUUUGCUUCGCCAAACGAUCUCACGAAAAAAUGACUCCAGUCCACAAGCAAGAAAGCGUUCCAGGACGGAGCGUGUGUCUAGAAGCCCUGUCUGUCAGUAGACAUCACUGCCACCACCACCUGCAUAUGAGUCAACACCACACAGGAAAUCAGCCGGUCGCCCAGAGCUGGAUGGGUGAAUUCUAACGCAAGCUCGGCCUGCCACUUCAUCUUGGGACCCAGUUGAAGCAACUUUUCCUGACAAGCCCGGAGGUUCG
This is a long non-coding RNA of Perca fluviatilis (European perch), 653 nucleotides long. RefSeq lists it as uncharacterized. NCBI's taxonomy places the organism in Eukaryota, Metazoa, Chordata, Actinopteri, Perciformes, Percidae. The record is from RefSeq and is a predicted model, not a curated record. The transcript has 5 exons.